CGGGUGAGUAACACGUGGAUAACCUACCUAUAAGACUGGGAUAACUUCGGGAAACCGAGCUAAUACCGGAUAAUAUAUUGAACCGCAUGGUUCAAUAGUGAAAGACGGUUUUGCUGUCACUUAUAGAUGGAUCCGCGCCGCAUUAGCUAGUUGGUAAGGUAACGGCUUACCAAGGCAACGAUGCAUAGCCGACCUGAGAGGGUGAUCGGCCACACUGGAACUGAGACACGGUCCAGACUCCUACGGGAGGCAGCAGCA
RNAcentral lists this ribosomal RNA (258 nucleotides) under uncultured Staphylococcus sp. RNAcentral describes it as "partial 16S ribosomal RNA". It matches the Rfam family "Bacterial small subunit ribosomal RNA", at positions 103 to 355 of the family's 1533-position model. Lineage: Bacteria; Bacillati; Bacillota; Bacilli; Caryophanales; Staphylococcaceae. The record is from RNAcentral.